UUGAGCUUGGAUCCUGGCUCAGAUUGAACGCUGGCGGCAGGCCUAACACAUGCAAGUCGAGCGGCAGCACGAGAAAGCUUGCUUUCUUGGUGGCGAGCGGCGGACGGGUGAGUAAUACAUGGGAAUCUGCCCGAUAGUGGGGGACAACGUUUCGAAAGGAACGCUAAUACCGCAUACGUCCUACGGGAGAAAGCAGGCUUAGGCUUGCGCUAUCGGAUGAGCCCAUGUCGGAUUAGCUUGUUGGUGAGGUAAUGGCUCACCAAGGCGACGAUCCGUAACUGGUCUGAGAGGAUGAUCAGUCACACCGGAACUGAGACACGGUCCGGACUCCUACGGGAGGCAGCAGUGGGGAAUAUUGGACAAUGGGGGCAACCCUGAUCCAGCCAUGCCGCGUGUGUGAAGAAGGCCUUCGGGUUGUAAAGCACUUUCAGCGAGGAGGAAAGCAGUAAGGUUAAUACCCUUAUUGUGUGACGUACUCGCAGAGAGACCG
RNAcentral lists this ribosomal RNA (490 nucleotides) under Oceanospirillaceae bacterium S-C58. RNAcentral describes it as "bacterial SSU rRNA". It matches the Rfam family "Bacterial small subunit ribosomal RNA", at positions 1 to 492 of the family's 1533-position model. Lineage: Bacteria; Pseudomonadati; Pseudomonadota; Gammaproteobacteria; Oceanospirillales; Oceanospirillaceae. The record is from RNAcentral.